RNAcentral lists this long non-coding RNA (309 nucleotides) under Nicotiana benthamiana. Its description in RNAcentral is "long non-coding RNA (NBEN_LNC023148)". Lineage: Eukaryota; Viridiplantae; Streptophyta; Magnoliopsida; Solanales; Solanaceae. The record is from RNAcentral.
UGUUGUUGUUGGAUUUUUGAACCGUGUAUUCCUCUAUGAUUGCCAGUUGGUUUCUUACAUUUUCCUCAUCAUUUUCCUUUUGUAGCACUUUAAAUUUGUUGGUAGUAUGGAUUUGUUUAUUGAAAUUGAGUUUGUUACCAAGUAUUUCUUUGCUUUGUGAAACUGAGACUUCAGUUUGUUUUUCUUUGUUUAGUGUCCUAUUGUCACGGACCUCCUUCCAUUGAGGGAAUUGGGGAGCCUUAGGGUCCCCAUUCUGUCUCAAACCAUCUUUUACCAAAGCAUGAUGUGCAGCUAAAUCAAUUCGACCAA